Molecule: long non-coding RNA, 388 nt
Filed under: Phoenix dactylifera (date palm)
Lineage: Eukaryota; Viridiplantae; Streptophyta; Magnoliopsida; Arecales; Arecaceae
Description: long non-coding RNA (PDAC_LNC022722)
Source: RNAcentral
AAAUUGCUCUCAUGUUGAUAAAAUACUUAAUAGAUUGGGCAAAAGAUCUUAAAUGAACAAGCUUUCAUACUUAUUAUUGAAGAGAUGUUAGAUUUCCAUUCGUGCUUUCCUUGAAUAUCAUUUGUGGUACUUCUUGAAUUAACCUAAGAAAGAUUCCACCUACACUUAAUUAGAAAACUAUCUGUGGUAUCAAAUUAGAAAACUUCUUGAAAUCACAUUCGAUGUGUUCUGCUCUGAAAUUAUCUUAAUUGGCUCUGAUCUAUGCUUCUUAAUCUGAUUCUAACAUUAUUGCCUUGAUUUAUAUGAUUCAUAUCCUUGCAAUAAUUUGACAUGCAAAUCAGAGUACAAUAAGGAAAAGAAAUAUUUGAGUAUUCUUAUCUUUGUGCUU